UAAAAACACAACAAACAUACCCAGGAAGAAUUGCUCAGCUAACAUUGCUCCUGAUAUACCACCAUCACCUUUUGCUCAGGCUGAUGGAUCACAAAACAUCACAUUUGUGGUGCAAAUAACAAAAUCAAGCAGCAACUACACACAAGUUUCAAGUCUUCACAGCCAGCAAUUUCGCCUUUUGGAGAAGGGAGGAAAGAGUGGACAUGUGUUUUUACCAGGACUGCUGCCAUCCCAAGUCCUCACAGCUUACAUACUGCCUCAUUUGUCCCUAUGCCAGCCAGAGUUGUUCAUAUGGAUGGGGUUGAUGUCGUACUGCCUACUGUUCAUUUAUAAAGACAAUAAACUCA
Long non-coding RNA from Rhineura floridana, 347 nucleotides. RefSeq lists it as uncharacterized. NCBI's taxonomy places the organism in Eukaryota, Metazoa, Chordata, Lepidosauria, Squamata, Rhineuridae. The transcript has 3 exons. The record is from RefSeq and is a predicted model, not a curated record.